CUGACUCAGCUAGUUGAGCAGGCCUCUAGCCCUGGGACGGGGUUUUGACAGGUCCUGACCUGGGGGACGGGCUCUGGAGGGACUGCGGCCUCUGACCUAGGGAUGGAGGUAUCCGCAUGCUCUGGCCUAGGCUGGGGGGUCUGCAGGCCCUGACUCAGGUAGUCUAGUCUGCAAGGGCUGUCCAAGGUCUGGCCAUGACGUGCCCUCCCACAGGCCUGUAUGGCCCCGAAGGCAUCCUACCUGCAAGGAGGACGCUGCGGCCUCAGGGCAAGGGGCGCUGGCAGCAGCUGUGGGAGACCCCGACGCUGCUGUGGGAAGCGCCGAGACUGGGGCUGGACACGGCCCAGGGCCUGGAGCUGCUGAGCCUGCUGGGCGCACUACUGGCCCUGGGGGCCCUGCUGCUGAGCCCACUGCGCCACCCCGUCAUCUACCUGCUGCUUUGGGCCGCCUACCUGUCGGCCUGCCAGGUGGGCCAGGUGUUCCUGUAUUUCCAGUGGGACUCUCUGCUGCUAGAGACUGGCUUCCUGGCCGUGCUGGUGGCCCCGCUGAGGCCAGCCUCCCACCGCAAGGAGGCCCCCCAGGGCAGGCAGGCAGGGGCCCUGC
This 603-nucleotide small RNA is filed under the name Pongo abelii (Sumatran orangutan). Its description in RNAcentral is "retained intron". Lineage: Eukaryota; Metazoa; Chordata; Mammalia; Primates; Hominidae. The record is from RNAcentral.